Panicum virgatum (switchgrass) is the source of this 457-nucleotide long non-coding RNA. RefSeq lists it as uncharacterized. The transcript has 3 exons. The record is from RefSeq and is a predicted model, not a curated record. NCBI's taxonomy places the organism in Eukaryota, Viridiplantae, Streptophyta, Magnoliopsida, Poales, Poaceae.
CCGUCGCGGCCCUCCGCCCUGCCGUCACAACCACCAGUCUCGCGGCAGCCAGAUCCCCAACGUCGCGUCGCUCUCCAAGUGCCGCCUACGCCUCCUCAAGCUCGAGCGGGUCAAGGACUACCUCCUCAUGGAGGAGGAGUUCGUUGCCGCGUAGGAGUAACUCCGCCCCCAGGAGGACAAGGCCGAGGAGGACCGAUCCAAGGAAGCCUCGGUCCUGCCCCCAAGGAACCGGGAGAUGGGUGUGUUUGAACUCAAGAUCAACCAGCUAGUACUGGAUUGCGCAUAUUGCCAACAACCCCUCCGGCCUGACCAGAUCAGGGGCCAAGCGUACAUGUGCGCUGGCGGCCACAUCUAUUGUGGUGCCUGCACCCGCCGACACGAAAAGGCAUGUAUCUCCAACUGCCGUUUGCUGGACCGCACCAUCGCUCAGAUGAAGUUCAAAUGCAUCUUCUGCGAC